This is a long non-coding RNA of Arabidopsis lyrata subsp. lyrata, 2577 nucleotides long. RefSeq lists it as uncharacterized. The transcript is spliced from 3 exons. The record is from RefSeq and is a predicted model, not a curated record. Lineage: Eukaryota; Viridiplantae; Streptophyta; Magnoliopsida; Brassicales; Brassicaceae.
GACAAAUCCUUUUGAAGCGAUUUGCUCGUACGGGGCAGGACCCAUACUAAGAGAGGGGAAAAGUGGUCAUAUUGGAUCCUUGGGAACCAUCACAAGUACGGCCGGCCUAUAUUUGAACAUUCAUGAGGUAAUCAGCAUGACAUAUUUGAUCCAAACGACGCAAACGAUUGUUCGCUAUCUUGGAGAGAUUCAAACUGAGGGUUAAGAGCACCUCCAAUUGGAGAUUCUCUUAAAAAUUUUGAUAAGUUCUCUGGUUUAGUUGGCAAAAAAAUAAAUCAAAACUGAUAUGAAGGCAGAGAAUCGGCAGAGAAUCGACUCUCUGCAGAGAGCUUUGAGCAAUUAAGAGAACCGUACACGUGGCACACUCUGAUUGGAGCAUCUAUUUUAACAAAAGAAAAAAAAUCUUGGUAUCUUCUCUCUUUGUAAACGACUACUUUUUCUCUCUCUGGCGAUGGCGAUCAAACCGCCGAUUUCUCCGAUUCCAAUGAGUGGGAGUAAAAUUACGUGUGUAAUCGUGGUAUCUGAGAAUUCGUGACGCCGGAGUCAUCAUCUUUUCAAUCAAUUUCUUCUCUUUUCUCUGCAUCAAUUUUUAGGGUUCAUCAGAGAAAGAGAAAAAGAUUCAGAGAUCCAUUGUACCAAGCCCACGUUGAUUUACAGAUAUGUUAAGCUAGCUGAUUUGUCAAAGGAGAAGAGAUUGUUUUUUGUUAGAGCGUGGGAAGUGUUUGUGAUUUGGUUUUAAUGCAUGAGCGACUAGAGAAGAAGAAAGCAGAGUAUGCAGAGAGGAUGAAGAAAAAAGUUGCAGCGAUUCACAAGGAAGCUGAACAGAGAAGACAUUGAUGACUGAGGACUUGGUGACUGAAGACAAUGAUGACUGAAAACUUUGUAUAUGCUAUGAUCAAAUUUGUAGAGUUUAGUCAUAGAGGAAAGCAAUUGUGAAGCAGAUUUGUUAUAGAGGAAACCAAUUGUAAACUUUGUAUAUGUCUUUUCUGAACUACGAUUCCGAUUGUGAAACGUAUCAAAACACAUAAACCAAAAUCAUAUUUUUGUUUUCUCCACAAAACCAAAAUCAUAUCCAAAACACAUAAAAUUUUAUGAGAACUUCACUUGAGAGACUACCAUUGGACUAUCAAAAAUUUUAAAUUUUUUACACAAACUCACAUCUUACAAAUUUCCAUAAUUUAUACUAAACAAUGGGAGAGAGCCCAUGGAGGGUUCAACGUUGUAAAAAAGGUCAUCAAAAAGACUCUCUCUCUCUCUCUCAUUUCGCCCUAACCUAGCCGCCGCUGUACGUGCUCUCCGCCUGAGACCGGUUGCUGGUGGCUUCCACAGCACUGGUGCUGGUCUCCCCAUGUAGUAGUUGCUUUUCUUUUUUUGUUUCUACUGUUUUCUGCGAUGUGGUGAAGAUCUUGCCUUGCUUCGUCUGGAUCUGGGUGGCGGUUAUGGCUUGUCUUUGGCCGGAGUUGGAGGACGAAGUUGGCUUCCUGAAAUCAUCUUCUCCUUCGACUUUCUUCUUCCUCCCCGGAUCUAUUCAGGCUCGCUAGGUGAAAUGGUAUCUCCUCCCAUCUAGUUUUUUAUUUCUUCGCGGCAACAUCUCCUGCUUCGAUCAGGCCUUUCUCUUCAACUUAUUUCGGAGUAGAUUGGGAUUCGAUUUUGGUUUGUCGAGUUUUCCGGCUGCGUCCAUUGGAUCUGCGGCAACGGCCUUCGUCUUCAUUUAUCCUCACAGGUCGUCCCUUAAUUUACCUUCGGUUAAUUGCUUUGGUUGUUGGAGUGUGUUUGGGUGCGUUUGGUUGAGGGUAGAAGCCUUAAUUUCAAGUUUAGGGCUGGGAAUAUUGACUCCUAAUUCUGCCUCCUGUUACUUUCUGCCCGGUUAUUGGUGUUAUGAGUUUGUGAUGGUUUCGUUUUGUGGGUUCUUCUUUCGGAUGGUAGUCUCCUGCAAAGGCAUCUACAAGCUCUCUUCCUUAUCCUUGUUUGGAUUUAAGAUUUGAGUUCAAGACGAUGUGGUAGGCUCGGUCUCCAUUCCUUCUCUUGAGUGGCAUAACCAGUUCUUAGGCUGUAGAUGGUUUUGGCUGGGUCUACGAAUAUCCGCGUGUAAGGUUUGUUGGUCCUCUUUGGCGUUUUCCCCUUCGGAUCUCAAGGCUUCUCCUUGUCCCUUCAUCUGCUUGUCUUCUCUGGUUUCUGAUGUGGUAGUGAUGGUUAGGAUCUGUGCUCUGAUCCUCUUAUAUUUGUCUGUGCUCGUUCCUGCUGGGGUUGUGGUUGUGUGAGCUUGGUUUAGUAUCCUUCUCGGGCCUUUCAUUUAAAGGUAAUCUAAUGAUGGGUCCUCUUGUUGCUCCUGUUUGUAACCACUUUCCAGCGCCCAAAUUAUUCUAUGGAAAUGUUCGUCGGAUGCUUUUAGUGAAGAGUUUGCAGUUGUUUACUUGAGUCUUAGAUAUUAGCCAUUCCCUGUACUUUAAGAUUUUCCUUCUUUUAUGUCUGCCUUUUUUGGCCUUUGUCUCUGGGGGUUUCUAUGUACCCGCCGGCUUUGUUUUCGGAAGGAUUUCUUUCCUUGCCGCUAUGUAUUAACUCCAAGUAUCUUAUCAA